GACGAACGCUGGCGGCGUGCUUAACACAUGCAAGUCGACCGAUGAAGCCGGAGCUUGCUCUGGUGAAUUAGUGGCGAACGGGUGAGUAACACGUGAGUAACCUGCCCUUGACUCUGGGAUAACUGCGGGAAACUGUCGCUAAUACCGGAUACGACCCUCGGAGGCAUCUCCUGGGGGUGGAAAGAAUUUCGGUCAAGGAUGGACUCGCGGCCUAUCAGCUAGUUGGUGAGGUAAAGGCUCACCAAGGCGACGACGGGUAGCCGGCCUGAGAGGGUGACCGGCCACACUGGGACUGAGACACGGCCCAGACUCCUACGGGAGGCAGCAGUGGGGAAUAGUGCACAAUGGGCGCAAGCCUGAUGCAGCAACGCCGCGUGAGGGAUGACGGCCAUCGGGUUGUAAACCUCUUUUAGCAGGGAAGAAGCGAAAGUGACGGUACCUGCAGAAAAAGCACCGGCUAACUACGUGCCAGCCGCCGCAGUAA
This 484-nucleotide ribosomal RNA is filed under the name uncultured bacterium. RNAcentral describes it as "partial 16S ribosomal RNA". It matches the Rfam family "Bacterial small subunit ribosomal RNA", at positions 28 to 523 of the family's 1533-position model. The record is from RNAcentral.